This 273-nucleotide unclassified non-coding RNA is filed under the name Hevea brasiliensis (rubber tree). Lineage: Eukaryota; Viridiplantae; Streptophyta; Magnoliopsida; Malpighiales; Euphorbiaceae. The record is from RNAcentral.
GAAGGUGAAAAAUAAAGCUCGUGUGGAGGGAUCAAUAUGUAAAGCCUAUCUCAUUCAAGAAACAUCAACAUUCACUUCCUAUUAUUUUCAGCCUCAUGUUCAAGCUAUGCUAAACAAAGUUAGUUGGAAUGAUGAUGGAGAUGAAGUUGAUGCCCUUGAUGGUUGCCUGUCCAUGUUUGUGCACCCAGGAUGUCCGACUGGGAAGAUGAUAGAAAGAUAUUUGUGUGAUGAUGAGUGGGAUGUAGCACUCUUGUAUGUGUUGUUAAAUUGUGA